UACGUAGGGUGCAAGCGUUAAUCGGAAUUACUGGGCGUAAAGCGUGCGCAGGCGGUUUUGUAAGACAGGCGUGAAAUCCCCGGGCUUAACCUGGGAAUUGCGCUUGUGACUGCAAAGCUGGAGUGCGGCAGAGGGGGAUGGAAUUCCGCGUGUAGCAGUGAAAUGCGUAGAUAUGCGGAGGAACACCGAUGGCGAAGGCAAUCCCCUGGGCCUGCACUGACGCUCAUGCACGAAAGCGUGGGGAGCAAACAGGAUUAGAAACCCCUGUAGUCC
Molecule: ribosomal RNA, 273 nt
Filed under: uncultured bacterium
Lineage: Bacteria
Description: partial 16S ribosomal RNA
Rfam family: Bacterial small subunit ribosomal RNA
Source: RNAcentral